AAACUUCAACAACGGAUCUCUUGGUUCCGGCAUCGAUGAAGAACGCAGCGAAAUGCGAUAGUAAUGUGAAUUGCAGAAUUCCGUGAAUCAUCGAAUCUUUGAACGCACAUUGCGCCCCCUGGAUUCCGGGGGCAUGCCUGUCCGAGCGUCAUU
RNAcentral lists this ribosomal RNA (153 nucleotides) under Paecilomyces variotii. RNAcentral describes it as "Byssochlamys spectabilis 5.8S ribosomal RNA". It matches the Rfam family "5.8S ribosomal RNA". From Rfam's summary of the family: 5.8S ribosomal RNA (5.8S rRNA) is a component of the large subunit of the eukaryotic ribosome. It is transcribed by RNA polymerase I as part of the 45S precursor that also contains 18S and 28S rRNA. Functionally, it is thought that 5.8S rRNA may be involved in ribosome translocation. The record is from RNAcentral. Lineage: Eukaryota; Fungi; Ascomycota; Eurotiomycetes; Eurotiales; Thermoascaceae.